AUUGAACGCUGGCGGCAGGCUUAACACAUGCAAGUCGAGCGGGGUGAUGGUGCUUGCACUAUCACUUAGCGGCGGACGGGUGAGUAAUGCUUAGGAAUCUGCCUAUUAGUGGGGGACAACAUCUCGAAAGGGAUGCUAAUACCGCAUACGUCCUACGGGAGAAAGCAGGGGAUCACUUGUGACCUUGCGCUAAUAGAUGAGCCUAAGUCGGAUUAGCUAGUUGGUGGGGUAAAGGCCUACCAAGGCGACGAUCUGUAGCGGGUCUGAGAGGAUGAUCCGCCACACUGGGACUGAGACACGGCCCAGACUCCUACGGGAGGCAGCAGUGGGGAAUAUUGGACAAUGGGGGGAACCCUGAUCCAGCAAUGCCGCGUGUGUGAAGAAGGCCUGAGGGUUGUAAAGCACUUUCAGUGGGGAGGAGGUUUGAUUGGUUAAGAGCUGAUUAAAUGGACGUUACCCACAGAAGAAGCACCGGCUAACUCCGUGCCAGCCGCCGCCGUAA
This 502-nucleotide ribosomal RNA is filed under the name uncultured bacterium. RNAcentral's name for it is "partial 16S ribosomal RNA". It matches the Rfam family "Bacterial small subunit ribosomal RNA", at positions 30 to 523 of the family's 1533-position model. The record is from RNAcentral.